CGCGCGGGGCGGGGCGUCUGGGGGCACCGGAGGCCAUCUUGGGGGCGCUGGGGCUAGUGGCCUGCGGCUGUCCCCCGACCGGGGCUCGCGAGAGCCGCCUGCUUGAGCAUCUCCUCCGCUGCCCUUCACCUGCCCACCAGCGUACUCGCCGUCGUCGGCGCCUCCGUCACCUCUUCUCGCGUCUAUUUUCUGUUUUUCCCAGUCUGGGAUUCUCUCCCCAUCUCCUGUGUUCCACAAUUAUUUUCCAUCUUGACACCUUUUUUUUUUUUUUCUAAUAAUCGUCAUCUUCUAACUCAUGUAGUUUUAAAAAGUCAUUUUCAUCAUUUCGUCUCCCGACCCACGUUGAGCUCCGCCUCGGCGAGGUCUCCUGCCUGUUUGCUGCAGAACGCCCCGGACAGCGGCCGACGGUGAUUAGGUGCUGAUACCUAUUAGCUGAAUGAGUGACUGAGAACCGGACGGUAGAAACCUGCAGAAAGACUUCCCGAAUAGGAAAACCCACCAGAGCUGCAGUUUUCAGACUGGGUGGCAAAAUCAGUGGGACAAGGAGCAUUAGGAAAGGAAGAAGAAAGGAAAGAAGGAAGAAGCUGGAACAAAAGAGAAUGCAACGAUACCACCUAGGAGAAUCGGGAUUCUUUCCUGAAACUCGAAUCAUAAAAAGAAUACGGUGUGUUGUACAUUUGGAAUCGAGGUGUUGAAUACACGUCUUACUCGGGUUGCUGUCAAAAAAUGUUUGAAAGCCACUGGCCUGGACUUUUUCUUUUUCUUUCUUUUGAAUGCUUAGAGUAGAAAGGUUUGAAAAGCCAUCUAAUUUAUUUCUCUACGCCUAGACAGUAUUUCAUUUUAAGAACAGUACAGACUUUAAUUAUUUUCUUGCUUAUCGUCCCAUCUCAGCAUUUGCGCCUGAUGAUUUGUGAAUAAUUUGUCUCUUUAAAGCUAUUAUUUCAGUUGGGAAAGCGAUAAAUUAAAAUAGGAAGGCAAUUCUGCCAAGCUUCCCUUCUCUGUCUCCUCUUCUCCCCGUCAUCAGGCCGUGGACACAUUCCAAAUGCGCUGCGGGCCAAGCCUGGCAGGGUCCCCGAGCCCGCCUUCUGUCGCCCUGUCCUGUAAUCAAAUACCCCAGUGGAGCUACGGGUGGUUGUUUUGUAUUGAGGAUUGAACCCAGGGCCUUUGCACUGAAUUACUUACACCCUCAGCCCUUUUUAGUUUUCAUUUUGAGACAGGGUCUUGCCAAAUUGCCUGGCUGGGACUCCAACUUGCAGUCUUUCUGCCUCAGCCUCCCAGAGUGCAGAGCAUACAGGCUUAUACCACCACACCUUUUGUUUGUUUGUUCUUUGGUAUUAGGGAAUUGAACUCAGGACCUUGCACUUGCGAAGCAGGGCAGUACCACUGAGCUAAGUCCCCUAAGUCCCCGGCUUAAUGUUCCUUUUUUGAGUUCAAGUUCCACUAUGAAGUUCAACUUGGCCUUGAACUUGCUAUUGUACCUAGGCUGUCCUUGAACUCUCUAUCCUCCUGCUUCAGCCUCCCAAGGCAUAGGAAUACAGGUAUAUACCACCACCUCUGGCAAAUUUUAGUAUUUCUUUAUCUCAUUCCCUCUUUUUACUUAUUUUUUAAAAAAUUAUCCCCAUGGAUAGGUAAUAGAAACACCUGAUGUACUUGAAUUUGACUUUGUCCCUUCUCAGUAGGGUAGGUCCCUGUUGUGCUAAUCAGGG
This is a long non-coding RNA of Heterocephalus glaber (naked mole-rat), 1706 nucleotides long. NCBI's taxonomy places the organism in Eukaryota, Metazoa, Chordata, Mammalia, Rodentia, Bathyergidae. The record is from Ensembl.